GUGAAAGAGUUCAUUUGGAUUGGGUGAAUCCACAGGAGCCACACCUCUUAGGCCAGUGAGAAGAACACAGCCGCCCAGAGAGAGCACGUUGGCGGUGGAGCUUAGAAGACAUCCGGUGGGAAGCAGAGACACCCACUCCAGACUGACAUAGGAAAAUAGGGAUUCAUGAAAGGAAGGAAGGAGAUUCCAAAAGCGUGACUCUGGAAGCAGAGAAGAAAGUUGGUUAUGGAGAGGAGCAGACCCUAGGAACUCAGAUCCCUCCCUGAAGAGUCUGAAACUAAGUGUGUCUUCUCUUAAAGCAAGAGUGAAGAAUGUCUCUGCUUUUCAAAUCUCUUGAGCCGAUUCUACCUUACCUAAUAAUAAUAAUCAUAACAACAACAUUUAUAUAGCACCUACUGUAUGCC
Long non-coding RNA from Vombatus ursinus (common wombat), 404 nucleotides. RefSeq lists it as uncharacterized. NCBI's taxonomy places the organism in Eukaryota, Metazoa, Chordata, Mammalia, Diprotodontia, Vombatidae. The record is from RefSeq and is a predicted model, not a curated record. The transcript has 3 exons.